RNAcentral lists this small nuclear RNA (280 nucleotides) under Neogale vison (American mink). Its description in RNAcentral is "Neovison vison (American mink) 7SK RNA (ENSNVIG00000005966.1)". It matches the Rfam family "7SK RNA". Rfam says of the family: 7SK was discovered as an abundant small nuclear RNA in the mid-70s but a possible function has only recently been suggested. Lineage: Eukaryota; Metazoa; Chordata; Mammalia; Carnivora; Mustelidae. The record is from Rfam by way of RNAcentral.
GGAUACGAGGGCAAUCAGGCUGCCCAGGCAGGUGUCGCCUUCCUCCCUCACCACUCCCUGUGCAUCCCUCCCAAAGCUGUUUUCUGGGUUAAAGAGGAUGACCUUCCCUGAUAGAGGAGGAGCAUUCUUCUUAGGUCCAGGGUAUAUGAGUAGCUUGGCUGCCCUGCUAGACAGGAAGAGUAAUCUGCAAAUUGGAACAAGGCCCAGUUUGCAGACACAGUGGUGGGAGAGGGGUACAGGACAGAAAGUAAGGCUGUAUUUUUCCAUUUGAAAAAUCUAU